GUAGGGGAGCAAACGUUGUCCGGAUUUAUUGGGCGUAAAGGGCUCGUAGGCGGUUCAACAAGUCGGUCGUGAAAGCCCGGGGGGGCUCAAACCCCGGGGAUGCCGGUCGAAACUGUUGUGACUUGAGUUCGGUAGAGGUGAGUGGAAUUCUCGGUGUAGCGGUGGAAUGCGCAGAUAUCGAGAGGAACACCAUUAGCGAAGGCGGCUCACUGGGCCGAUACUGACGCUGAGGAGCGAAAGCGUGGGGAGCAAACAGGAUUAGAUACCCUGGUAGUCCACGCCGUAAACGAUGAACACUAGGUGUAGCGGAUUUAUUCACGUCUGCUGCGCCGUAGCUAACGCAUUAAGUGUUCCGCCUGGGGAGUACGGCCGCAAGGCUA
This 380-nucleotide ribosomal RNA is filed under the name uncultured organism. RNAcentral's name for it is "partial 16S ribosomal RNA". It matches the Rfam family "Bacterial small subunit ribosomal RNA", at positions 526 to 896 of the family's 1533-position model. The record is from RNAcentral.